Molecule: long non-coding RNA, 432 nt
Organism: Amblyraja radiata (thorny skate)
Lineage: Eukaryota; Metazoa; Chordata; Chondrichthyes; Rajiformes; Rajidae
Exons: 4
Source: RefSeq, a predicted model, not a curated record
AGUAAUACCAGGCACACUCUGAGCAGAAGUCACACUGACAACCUGAAGCAGCCAGUCCCCUGUCCGGGACACUGAAGGAAGGAGCUGGUAAUCAGUCACUAGCGUGAGCGGUGAGAUCGUGUGAUCGGAGCCACAGACACAACUCUAGUGAGAGACGCUGCCUAAAUCUGUGAGCACUUCCCGGAUUCUCUGAUUAUACCGCAGGAAUCUGUCUGGAGAAUCUUCAAUGCACUCCCUCUAUAGAAAGUGCACCUUUCAUUAGGUACCCACGAUGAUCACACACUGACUGUACUUGAAACACACGGUGCCAAUACAACAAGAGGAUCGUCAGUCAGAGCCAAAGAAGUGACCAGCCCUGUGAUCCCAGGAUAGGAACUCUAGCACCCCAACACAUCUGAGCUCUGUGAAAUAUCCCAGGACAGGAGACCGGAC